Molecule: ribosomal RNA, 430 nt
Filed under: uncultured bacterium
Lineage: Bacteria
Description: bacterial SSU rRNA
Rfam family: Bacterial small subunit ribosomal RNA
Source: RNAcentral
GGACCCGCACAAGUAGUGGAGCAUGUGGUUUAAUUCGAAGAUACGCGCAGAACCUUACCAACACUUGACAUGUUCGUCGCGACUCUAAGAGAUUAGAGUUUUCGGUUCGGCCGGACGAAACACAGGUGCUGCAUGGCUGUCGUCAGCUCGUGUCGUGAGAUGUUGGGUUAAGUCCCGCAACGAGCGCAACCCUCACUUUUAGUUGCCAUCAUUUAGUUGGGCACUCUGAAAGAACUGCCAGUGAUAAGCUGGAGGAAGGUGGGGAUGACGUCAAGUCCUCAUGGCCCUUACGUGUUGGGCUACACACGUGCUACAAUGGUAUUUACAACAGGAAGCAAGACUGCGAAGUUAAGCAAAUCCUUAAAAAAUACCUCAGUUCGGAUUGCACUCUGCAACUCGAGUGCAUGAAGCUGGAAUUACUAGUAAUCGU